AACGAACGCUGGCGGCAUGCCUAACACAUGCAAGUCGAACGAGACCUUCGGGUCUAGUGGCGCACGGGUGCGUAACGCGUGGGAACCUGCCCUUAGGUUCUGAAUAACUCCCCGAAAGGGGUGCUAAUACCGGAUAAUGUCUUCGGACCAAAGAUUUAUCGCCUUUGGAUGGGCCCGCGUUGGAUUAGCUAGUUGGUAGGGUAAAAGCCUACCAAGGCGACGAUCCAUAGCUGGUCUGAGAGGAUGAUCAGCCACACUGGGACUGAGACACGGCCCAGACUCCUACGGGAGGCAGCAGUGGGGAAUAUUGGACAAUGGGCGAAAGCCUGAUCCGGCAAUGCCGCGUGAGUGAUGAAGGCCUUAGGGUUGUAAAGCUCUUUUACCCGGGAUGAUAAUGACAGUACCGGGAGAAUAAGCUCCGGCUAACUCCGUG
This 433-nucleotide ribosomal RNA is filed under the name uncultured bacterium. Its description in RNAcentral is "partial 16S ribosomal RNA". It matches the Rfam family "Bacterial small subunit ribosomal RNA", at positions 29 to 507 of the family's 1533-position model. The record is from RNAcentral.